This 465-nucleotide ribosomal RNA is filed under the name uncultured bacterium. RNAcentral describes it as "bacterial SSU rRNA". It matches the Rfam family "Bacterial small subunit ribosomal RNA", at positions 36 to 518 of the family's 1533-position model. The record is from RNAcentral.
CUGGCGGCGUGCCUAACACAUGCAAGUCGAGCGAGGAGAUCCUUCGGGAUGAUCCUAGCGGCGGACGGGUGAGUAACACGUGGGCAACCUGCCUCAUAGAGAGGAAUAGCCUUCCGAAAGGGAGAUUAAUGCCUCAUAACAUUGCAGUUUCGCAUGGAACAGCAAUUAAAGGAGCAAUCCACUAUGAGAUGGGCCCGCGGCGCAUUAGCUAGUUGGUGAGGUAACGGCUCACCAAGGCGACGAUGCGUAGCCGACCUGAGAGGGUGAUCGGCCACAUUGGGACUGAGACACGGCCCAGACUCCUACGGGAGGCAGCAGUGGGGAAUAUUGCACAAUGGGGGAAACCCUGAUGCAAGCAACGCCGCGUGAGUGAUGACGGUCUUCGGAUUGUAAAGCUCUGUCUUCAGGGACGAUAAUGACGGUACCUGAGGAGGAAGCCACGGCUAACUACGUGCCAGCCGCCGC